RNAcentral lists this ribosomal RNA (253 nucleotides) under uncultured bacterium. Its description in RNAcentral is "partial 16S ribosomal RNA". It matches the Rfam family "Bacterial small subunit ribosomal RNA", at positions 524 to 776 of the family's 1533-position model. The record is from RNAcentral.
UACAGAGGGUGCAAGCGUUAAUCGGAAUUACUGGGCGUAAAGCGCACGCAGGCGGUUGGUUAAGUCAGAUGUGAAAGCCCCGGGCUCAACCUGGGAAUUGCAUUUGAAACUGGCCAACUAGAGUACGUGAGAGGGGGGUAGAAUUCCAAGUGUAGCGGUGAAAUGCGUAGAUAUAGGAAGGAACACCAGUGGCGAAGGCGACCACCUGGACUGAUACUGACACUGAGGUGCGAAAGCGUGGGGAGCAAACAGG